Long non-coding RNA from Gadus chalcogrammus (walleye pollock), 240 nucleotides. RefSeq lists it as uncharacterized. The record is from RefSeq and is a predicted model, not a curated record. NCBI's taxonomy places the organism in Eukaryota, Metazoa, Chordata, Actinopteri, Gadiformes, Gadidae. The transcript has 4 exons.
CAGACCUUUUGUUCUUGAACAUUAUAAAGAGGCAAUUGGGAAAUCUUACCAGAGGAUUACGCUGUACAUCUGCCUUCUUCAGGAUUUGAGUUAUGGAGAUGACUCAUCUUCAGAAUCCGAUGAUUGUGAAGCAUUUGGUCGGCUUCCAAUGAAAAUGUCCCCAAAACAAUCUCUGCCAACAACAUCCAGGGCAUCUGGUGGGCAAGCCAAUGGAGCAGGAGCAGGACCCAAAAAGACCAC